RNA transcript from Nematostella vectensis (starlet sea anemone), 1192 nucleotides. RefSeq lists it as uncharacterized. The transcript has 6 exons. The record is from RefSeq and is a predicted model, not a curated record. Lineage: Eukaryota; Metazoa; Cnidaria; Anthozoa; Actiniaria; Edwardsiidae.
UUUUUGGUGGACGUCAAUCAAACACUUUCGACGGGCUCACGGGCUAGCAAAUAUGGCGGACGGAUGUUUCUCUAACUCAUUUUACAACUAGAUCUAAGGAAAAAUGGUUAAAUCAUUUGAUAAUGCCCUUAGGUGGAGAGUAAUUUUCCUCAGGGAGAAAGGUUUCACCUUCGAUGAAAUUGCAGAGACACUGAGCGCCAGCAAGCGCUUUGUUUAUAAGAUCACUCGUUUGUAUAGAAAUACUCGUGGUGUAAGCGAUGCAAGAAAACGGAAGUCGAAGGCUCGCCUCAUAAAUGCUAACGAUUUACUGCUAAUCAGGCGCCUUAUUGAUGAGUACCCGGGACUUUACCUAGAUGAAAUACAAACUUGGCUUGAGCAUUUUACAGGCUGCACAUUCUCUGUUCCUUCCCUUGAUAGAUGUUUGAAGAGGAUGGGGUUGUCAGUGCAAAAGAUGCACAUCGUUACUCGCCAAAGAAACGAGUUCGAACGUGCCACCUACCGAAGAUUUAUUUCGCAAUUCAAACCAAAUCAGCUACUCUUCAUUGACGAGUCAUCGAAGGAUGAAAGAACAAUCCAGAGGAAGUUUGGUCGUGAACUGUGUGGAAAGCGUCUAUCUCAUGUGGGAAAUUUCACACGUGGUACACGUUUCAGUGUUCUUGCUGCUGUGUCUAUGGAUGGCAUAAAGGGUGCACAUGCUAUUGAAGGAGCGUAUGACACUGCAGGCUUUGAAUUUGCAAUGGAAACAUUUGUGGCUCCAUCAAUUGGUUCAUGUGCAAAUGGAGAAGAUUGUUCUGUGGUAGUAAUGGACAACUGUGCCAUACAUAAAUCUGAUCACCUUCUUAGAAUUAUCCGCGAGAGAGGGGACCAUAUUCACCAGAUUUGAACCCAAUAGAAGGAUGCUUUGGUACUGCAAAGAAAUGGAUGCUCAGGCACAGGCAUAUGGCAGAAAGAUACCCCAAAAGAUGUUUUGAAAUGGCACUGUUUAAUCUUUCCUCCGAAGUUUGCAGAAACAAUGUCCUUGACUGUGGAUACGUUUAGCCUGCAUAGAACUCAACAAGAAAUGUAAACUACCCUUUUAUAAUAUGUAUAAUAGGUUAAAAUGUAAGCAGUAUUGGCAGAUCCAAACAUUAACAUUUACAGUACUUGUAGAUGACCUCAAAUGUAAAGUAAAUCACACAAGCAUGUACAGUGA